GACGAACGCUGGCGGCGUGCCUAAUACAUGCAAGUAGGACUCAGUUGCGAACGGGUGAGUAACGCGUAGGUAACUACCUAUUAGAGGGGGAUAACUAUUGGAAACGCUAGCUAAUACCGCAUACUAGUAGAUGGCCCUGCGUUGUAUUAGCUAGUAGGUAGGGUAAUGGCCUACCUAGGCAACGAUACAUAGCCGACCUGGGAGUGUGAUCGGCAACACUGGGAGUGGGAGACGGCCCAGACUCCUACGGGAGGCAGAAGUAGGGAAGCUUAGGAAAUGGGGGGAACCCUGACCGAGCAACGCAGAGUGAGUGAAGAAGGUUUUCGGAUCGUAAAGCUCUGUUGUUAAGGAAGCGGUACUUAACCAGAAAGGGAAGGCUAACUACGUGACAGCAGCCGCGGUAAUAC
Molecule: ribosomal RNA, 407 nt
Filed under: uncultured bacterium
Lineage: Bacteria
Description: partial 16S ribosomal RNA
Rfam family: Bacterial small subunit ribosomal RNA
Source: RNAcentral